UCGGAUUGACCGAGACGUAAUUCCUGGCAGUGUAAACUUGUAACUAGUUUAUCUGGGCUUUCAUCCAGAGAAAUCCAGGGGCGGAUUCCGUUUAUAAAAAACACCUGAAGAGGAAAGUCCCGGCUAAUUCUGAUGGAUGGGAGAUUUUUUUUUAGAGCUCCUGAAAAAUAGUUAACAAUAUAAUCGUUUUUAUAUUUGAUUGCUCACGCAUACAGAGUAAAUACCGUUGUUUCCCCGCCCCAGUAUUUUUAUUUGCAGCUUCCUAUUCAAUAGAUUGCUUCCAGUCUCUGGUGCUAAAGUUUCAGAUCGUUUAGAGCCAUGGGGAAUGGGAUGAAUAAGAUACUUCCUGGUUUGUUCCUUGGAAAUUUUAAAGAUGCUCGUGACACCGAACAACUAAAACAGAAUAACAUUACACACAUUCUUUCAAUCCAUGACAGUGCUCGGCCCAUGUUGGAGGUAGGGUAAGAAACUUACCAAACUUAAACCAAUGUGGUUUCAGUAGGAAUAAGCAGGCAAAUGCUAUUUUAGCAUUAGUACAAUAUUGACUUAGGACUAUUUCUGUAAAGGGCUAUGGAUAAGAGGAAGGAGGAAGUUGUCAACAAUGAUGUAUAGAUGCAGGGAAGGGGCUUUUUCUCAAGAACUCUGAUUAUCAUUUUUCCAUUAAUCUGCUCAAAUGAAUCUAAUGUCAUAAUCACGUCACGAUAAGUCAGUGUCAUCUAACUUCCAUGUGAUUUAACCAGUGUUGAUUGUAACUGUACUUCUGGAUUUCUGAUUAUCAUCAAAUUGGGCUACAAAUGGCAAUGUGUAUUCCUCCAGACAUUGAACCUCAGCUACUGUCAGCUUUUGCGAGUAUGGCCGAUGGUAAAGAAUGAUAGAAGUUGUAGUUCUAAAUAAUAAUGUGGCCCAUUUCUUGGGGUUCUGUUCAA
This is a long non-coding RNA of Crotalus tigris (Tiger rattlesnake), 926 nucleotides long. RefSeq lists it as uncharacterized. The record is from RefSeq and is a predicted model, not a curated record. The transcript has 3 exons. Lineage: Eukaryota; Metazoa; Chordata; Lepidosauria; Squamata; Viperidae.